Homo sapiens (human) is the source of this 1438-nucleotide long non-coding RNA. RefSeq lists it as uncharacterized. The transcript has 3 exons. The record is from RefSeq and is marked validated. NCBI's taxonomy places the organism in Eukaryota, Metazoa, Chordata, Mammalia, Primates, Hominidae.
CUUUUCUUCCCUGUGGACUGCCCUGCUCUCUGGUCUUUUCAGUUUGCCUCUUUUUACGGAACUGCGUCCUACAGUGGAGCUGGGCACAGCAACUGGAUCCCAGCCUUCUUAGCCCGCUGUUCUUGGGCUAGAGCCCCAUCCGAUGAGUAGGGACUGGCUGGAGGAAGGGGGCUGUCCGUCAUGCUCACCAGGAAUUUAGCCUCUUCAACUGGGUGCUGGGGUGAGAAAUGCUGGCAUCUGUCCCUCCUGGCCCUCCGACGGUGGCUCCGUGCCCUCAAAAGAAGGAUGAUCCCUUCCUGGUCCCGCCUGACCCGGGGGAGCUCGGCCCCUGCUGUGCUGUCAGCCUCGCCCCGGCCGCCCGCGCUGACCCCCGCCCGGCUCACAGCACCGCUGGCCGCAGCCUCUCACCGAGAGCUCCUGCCCUCAGCCUCCAGCCGGAGAAGGACUCCCCAUCCCAGCAGAGCUCAGCUCAGCGGGCACGCGCACGACGCAGAAAUCCUUGAUUUCUCAGGUUAGGCGACGGCUGAAUUAUAAACACGGGCCUCGCUGGACCACGGACCCGCCAGGUUCUCCCGCAACUUGCGGAGCUCCUGGACCGGCCCUUCCCAGAGGCGCAGCGCUGAGUCCCAGGAGCAGGACCUGAACCAGGAAGGGGAGGGGCGAGCACAGUCCUGCCUCCUCCUCCCCGCACAGUGCUGGGGGAAUGACCCCCACUGCCUUCUUCUCCUCCCCCAACACUGCAGGGGGAAUGACCCCCACUGCCUCCUCCUCCCAACACACUGCAGGGGGAAUGACCCCCACUGUCUUCUCCUCCCAACACACUGCAGGGGGAAUGACCCCCACUGUCUUCUCCUCCCAACACACUGCAGGGGGAAUGACCCCCACUGCCUCCUCCUCCCAACACACUGCAGGGGGAAUGACCCCCACUGUCUUCUCCUCCCCCCACACUGCAGGGGGAAUGACCCCCACUGUCUUCUCCUCCCCCCACACUGCAGGGGGAAUGACCCCCACUGUCUUCUCCUCCCCACACACUGCAGGGGGAAUGACCCCCACUGCCUCCUCCUCCCAACACACUGCAGGGGUAAUGACCCCCACUGCCUCCUCCUUCCCCACACACUGCAGGGGGAAUGACCCCCACUGCCUUCUCCUCCCCCAACACUGCAGGGGGAAUGACCCCCACUGCCUCCUGCUCCCCACACACACACUGCAGGGGGAGUGACCCCCAUAUUUUAAUGCAGUGGUUUCUCUGGUCACUCACGGUCCAGCACUAGCACGCAGCAGUCGGGGAAAUGCUGUGGGUAUGAGACGGCCUGGAUUUUGAAGGCGCUGCAUGAAAAAGAAUGUAGAGAAUCUGAAUGCAUUUUAUGUAUAGAUUGCAUGUUGAAAUGAUGCUGUUGGGAUAUAUUAGGCAAAAUAAAAUAUAUCACAAUUUAUUACA